GGUGAGUUGGCUACCUCACUGACUUGGAUUAAUUGAAAGUCAAGAAUCUUGUCAGAGCAUUGUUCCAUCACAGUAUAGGUACAACAUUUUGCACUAUACCCUGGGACCUAUCACGUCUCCCAUUUCCUAUGGUACUCACUGAGUCUACUUUUGGCUGCAAGAGUGUCUCUUGGUGGCUCUUCCAUGUUUCAUCAAUGACAGGAAACACAUACUGAUCUUGGAUUCUAUAGUAUGUUGACGCUGAUAUAAAUGCGAGUUUUAGGUGUCAGCAAAAUGGGAAAGUCGUUGGCAUACCUGCAAUCAGCGGUUGUGAGGUCCACUUUACAUCGUGACCAUUCAGGCAACUGAUGUUUACAGUCAGCAGUGUUCCUGUACAAAACUGUGUUAAACUAGCUGUGGGUGCUCUACAUGAUGGACAAUAAUGAAGCCUCACCUUGUUCAGAAGCUGAAUCAGAUGAAUACAUGCUGCUGUUGUGGCUGAAACUGAAAGAGGUGUCACGUUGUUCAUCAUGCAGGGAUGUCUCAGUAAAGUUGCUAGGAUGUAGUGGUGUUGAGGUUAUCGGGUAGUCUAAGUCAGGCUCAAAUGAGUAGAUGUCGUCCAAGUUGUACUGUGUGCUUGAUUUGCAGGUAGAUGAUCUAAUGUCAUCUAGGUCAUAUUGCAAAGAGGCAUCACAAGUUU
This is a long non-coding RNA of Corticium candelabrum, 679 nucleotides long. RefSeq lists it as uncharacterized. The record is from RefSeq and is a predicted model, not a curated record. The transcript is spliced from 3 exons. Lineage: Eukaryota; Metazoa; Porifera; Homoscleromorpha; Homosclerophorida; Plakinidae.